GAGUUUGAUCCUGGCUCAGGACGAACGCUGGCGGCGCGCCUAACACAUGCAAGUCGAACGGGACUAUGCGAGAUGAAGUUUUCGGAUGGAAUUUUGUGUAGUUUAGUGGCGGACGGGUGAGUAACACGUGAGCAACCUGCCUUCGAGAGGGGAAUAACGGCUGGAAACGGUCGCUAAUACCGCAUAACAUACGGGAGGGACAUCCCUUUUGUAUCAAAGAUUUAUCGCUCGAAGAUGGGCUCGCGUCCGAUUAGGUAGUUGGUGAGGUAACGGCCCACCAAGCCGACGAUCGGUAGCCGGACUGAGAGGUUGAACGGCCACAUUGGGACUGAGACACGGCCCAGACUCCUACGGGAGGCAGCAGUGGGGGAUAUUGCACAAUGGGGGAAACCCUGAUGCAGCGACGCCGCGUGUAGGAAGACGGUCCUCUGGAUUGUAAACUGCUGUCCCCAGGGACGAAGAUGACGGUACCUGGGGAGGAAGCUCCGGCUAACUACG
This 498-nucleotide ribosomal RNA is filed under the name uncultured bacterium. RNAcentral describes it as "bacterial SSU rRNA". It matches the Rfam family "Bacterial small subunit ribosomal RNA", at positions 9 to 505 of the family's 1533-position model. The record is from RNAcentral.